This 253-nucleotide ribosomal RNA is filed under the name uncultured bacterium. RNAcentral describes it as "partial 16S ribosomal RNA". It matches the Rfam family "Bacterial small subunit ribosomal RNA", at positions 524 to 776 of the family's 1533-position model. The record is from RNAcentral.
UACAUAGGUCUCAAGCGUUGUUCGGAUUCAUUGGGCGUAAAGGGUGCGUAGGCGGCGCGGUAAGUCGGGUGUGAAAUCUUGGAGCUUAACUCCGAAACUGCAUUCGAUACUGCCGUGCUUGAGGACUGGAGAGGAGACUGGAAUUUACGGUGUAGCGGUGAAAUGCGUAGAUAUCGUAAGGAAGACCAGUGGCGAAGGCGGGUCUCUGGACAGUUACUGACGCUGAGGAGCGAAAGCGUGGGGAGCGAACAGG